CAGAGUGCAAUAGGCAUCCUGCAAGUCUAAACACACUGUGUUAUAGCGUUGUAAUCAGCUUUGUGAAUUGCAGUGCCUAAGGGGCAGUUUUAUUACCAUAGGGUCACUUUUCUUUCAACAACUCUUGAAUCUACUUAAAAAAGUGUUCAAAUCAUGUAAAUUGAUGUGAAAAAAUACGACGACCGUCCGCCGAGUCCGGUGUGGGCAGCUGUUGCCGGCGGCGAAGAUUUCUUGAGAAGGAGAAAGAGAAGUAAAAGGAAAGAUAACAAAACAAAACAAAAAUAAAAUAUAAAAAAUACAUAUAAUAUUUGAAAAAAAAAAAAGAGGAAAUUUUUCUAACUUUUAAAAUUCAUUACUACGAAGUUAUCAAAUACUCUUUGGUUUUC
RNAcentral lists this long non-coding RNA (386 nucleotides) under Coffea arabica (coffee). Its description in RNAcentral is "long non-coding RNA (CARA_LNC004976)". The record is from RNAcentral. Lineage: Eukaryota; Viridiplantae; Streptophyta; Magnoliopsida; Gentianales; Rubiaceae.